UACGGAGGGGGCUAGCGUUAUUCGGAAUUACUGGGCGUAAAGCGCACGUAGGCGGAUUAACAAGUCAGAGGUGAAAUCCCAGGGCUCAACCUUGGAACUGCUUUUGAAACUGUUUCUCUUGAGGUCGUGAGAGGUGAGUGGAAUUCCGAGUGUAGAGGUGAAAUUCAUAGAUAUUCGGAGGAACACCAGUGGCGAAGGCAGCUCACUAGCUCGAUACUGACACUAAGGUGCAAAAGCGUGGGGAGCAAACAGG
Molecule: ribosomal RNA, 253 nt
Filed under: uncultured bacterium
Lineage: Bacteria
Description: partial 16S ribosomal RNA
Rfam family: Bacterial small subunit ribosomal RNA
Source: RNAcentral